RNAcentral lists this long non-coding RNA (1886 nucleotides) under Equus caballus (horse). RNAcentral describes it as "lncRNA (ENSECAG00000048137.1)". The record is from RNAcentral. Lineage: Eukaryota; Metazoa; Chordata; Mammalia; Perissodactyla; Equidae.
CCCCCUUCCUUUGAGAAGUUCCUUCCAGGUGGGAUCCUGUGGGGCUGUGUGCUCACCAAGCUCACCGCUCCCACAGCUAGCUCAGAAGACAGAUGUGACCCAAACUAACCAUACUGCGAUGAGGAUGAGCAAGGGAAAGUCAAGAGGCAACCUAGUGGAUCACAUUCUUCUCUUCCAUUAUGUGGCAACUGCCCUCCUUCUUCUGAAGAUCAGGGUCCUCACUGCUGGCUGGCUGGUGGGUGGCAGCUUCAAAAUCCCAUAUGAACAUCUGUUUUCUUAGACCACCCCUGCCAUUGUUGCAAGUUGAGUCCCUUGGAAGCAGACUCUGAGAUGGGAAUUAGCACAGAAGAAUUGAAUUGGCAACAAGAUUUUAUCUUAUUCACUGAUAUGCCACACAGAUUCUCCAAACUGUUUGAAGCCAGUAAGAGAGAAGGAAGAAAAGACGAUUCUAGGAUGACACCAGAUUUCUGGUUUUGAUAGCUGCAUUGAAGGAAGCUAGUGCUUCAUACCUACUUUCCUUGGGGGAAAAUGAAUGAAAAAGAGACUGAAUUCAAUCUUGAACAUGAUGAGUUUGAGAUGCCCAGAGCAUCCAAGAUAUUGAAAGUUGGAGAUGUUGAGAAUCCAUGGGAUGGACCAGACUGGAGCUGAAGAAGCCACUGGGAUUAGCACCCUGCAACGUUCAGAUGGUACAACUGAGGCUAUAUUGAGUAAGUGGUCUCACAACUUUGGUCUCAGGGCAGUCUAAGUCCUUGGAGUAGACAUGAUGGGACAGAAAGAACUACGAGGCAAAAAAGGCACUCUUUUCCAUGUCUAAUUCUACAACCUUAGACCACAUACAUUAGGAAUCAUUUUGUGAGCUGCUCUUGGAACUCACCAACCCCAAAUCAAAACAAAUGAGAAUUGCUGCCUGAAGAGUUAGUUGCCAUGUCAAGCCUACACAGCUCCAGGGGCAGGUUGCAAGCUGUUUACAGUCACUACUCGCUGCUGGCAUCUCCAGGCAGGCAUAGCUGUCCACAUAUUGUGCUGGCGCAUGUCACAUCGUAUCUGGGGUCUGAUUUGAGCAGCACACAUCCACAAUGGGAAAAUGAGGCUGGUCAGGUCCUACCCAUGGAGAUCAGAGUGAUCCAUGCCCACAUCUCCAGGUUUGAGCCGUGGUAGAAUCUGUGGCACCUGUCUUAGAAUUGAAAUUCCUUUAUGUGGCUUGGGAGUUGGGUGGGCUAGCUAGGGAGUUUGUCAUGAAGUUGCUUUUGCAUAGCAAGAAUACUACUUUUACUUAGAUUAUAUGUUUAUUUGGAAUGACUUUGAGGGUGGAGGCUAAUGGUUGUUUUGGGGGCAAAUGGCCCACUAAAGACACCCCUUAGUGCCAUCACUUGGGCCACCAUGUUGUUUUCAAAACCCGGCCAUGGCUUGGGGAGCUCAAUAACCAAUCUAUUAGCCAAAGUUAUAGACUUUUCAGGCUUCACAUACCUCUUGCCUUCCUUCUCACCCUCAGGGUACUUACCACAUCCAAUUCUUAGCAGGAUGCUUUCAUCAUUGAGUGGAGAAAUUGUGCCUCUGCAUGAGGAGAGCGUCUUCAUAAUGUUACAUAGCACUUAGGAUCCAAGUUCUUAUUCAAUGGGUGUGCUUGAUUUCUGAGCCUGAGACUUCCAUAACACCAUUGACACAGACUUGUGUUGAGAGUUUAUCAGACCCUCCACCUCCCAAUGCUCUUUGUUAUGAAGAAGGAUGCCAACUCUUCUCACCUGACAGCUGCCUCUAGAAAAUUCCUCUCCAAGCCUAUGUCUGUUUUCUAACCACUGACAACUACACCUGCUCUUUGGUACCUGGAUCUCCAUACAAUUGUAGCAUUAUAGAAGGGAGGCAACACUGUCUGGAUGUUGGAGGGC